GCAGUAGCCACGGGAAUACGUAGGUGGCAAGCGUUGUCCGGAAUUAUUGGGCGUAAAGGGCUCGCAGGCGGUUUCUUAAGUCUGAUGUGAAAGCCCCCGGCUCAACCGGGGAGGGUCAUUGGAAACUGGGAAACUUGAGCGCAGAAGAGGAGAGUGGAAUUCCACGUGUAGCGGUGAAAUGCGUAGAGAUGUGGAGGAACACCAGUGGCGAAGGCGACUCUCUGGUCUGUAACUGACGCUGAGGAGCGAAAGCGUGGGGAGCGAACAGGAUUAGAUACCCGUGUAGUCCCUGUCUCUUAUAC
RNAcentral lists this ribosomal RNA (302 nucleotides) under uncultured bacterium. RNAcentral describes it as "partial 16S ribosomal RNA". It matches the Rfam family "Bacterial small subunit ribosomal RNA", at positions 508 to 807 of the family's 1533-position model. The record is from RNAcentral.